Molecule: ribosomal RNA, 245 nt
Filed under: uncultured Pseudomonas sp.
Lineage: Bacteria; Pseudomonadati; Pseudomonadota; Gammaproteobacteria; Pseudomonadales; Pseudomonadaceae
Description: partial 16S ribosomal RNA
Rfam family: Bacterial small subunit ribosomal RNA
Source: RNAcentral
ACUCUAAGGAGACUGCCGGUGCAAACCGGAGGAAGGUGGGGAUGACGUCAAGUCAUCAUGGCCCUUACGGCCUGGGCUACACACGUGCUACAAUGGUCGGUACAAAGGGUUGCCAAGCCGCGAGGUGGAGCUAAUCCCAUAAAACCGAUCGUAGUCCGGAUCGCAGUCUGCAACUCGACUGCGUGAAGUCGGAAUCGCUAGUAAUCGUGAAUCAGAAUGUCACGGUGAAUACGUUCCCGGGCCUU